AGAGUUUGAUCAUGGCUCAGAUUGAACGCUGGCGGCAGGCCUAACACAUGCAAGUCGAACGGUAACAGGAAGCAGCUUGCUGCUUUGCUGACGAGUGGCGGACGGGUGAGUAAUGUCUGGGAAACUGCCUGAUGGAGGGGGAUAACUACUGGAAACGGUGGCUAAUACCGCAUAACGUCGCAAGACCAAAGAGGGGGACCUUCGGGCCUCUUGCCAUCAGAUGUGCCCAGAUGGGAUUAGCUAGUUGGUGAGGUAACGGCUCACCAAGGCGACGAUCCCUAGCUGGUCUGAGAGGAUGACCAGCCACACUGGAACUGAGACACGGUCCAGACUCCUACGGGAGGCAGCAGUGGGGAAUAUUGCACAAUGGGCGCAAGCCUGAUGCAGCCAUGCCGCGUGUAUGAAGAAGGCCUUCGGGUUGUAAAGUACUUUCAGCGGGGAGGAAGGUGUUGUGGUUAAUAACCGCAGCAAUUGACGUUACCCGCAGAAGAAGCACCGGCUAACUCCGUGCCAGCAGCCGCGGUAAUACGGAGGGUGCAAGCGUUAAUCGGAAUUACUGGGCGUAAAGCGCACGCAGGCGGUCUGUCAAGUCGGAUGUGAAAUCCCCGGGCUCAACCUGGGAACUGCAUUCGAAACUGGCAGGCUUGAGUCUUGUAGAGGGGGGUAGAAUUCCAGGUGUAGCGGUGAAAUGCGUAGAGAUCUGGAGGAAUACCGGUGGCGAAGGCGGCCCCCUGGACAAAGACUGACGCUCAGGUGCGAAAGCGUGGGGAGCAAACAGGAUUAGAUACCCUGGUAGUCCACGCCGUAAACGAUGUCUACUUGGAGGUUGUGCCCUUGAGGCGUGGCUUCCGGAGCUAACGCGUUAAGUAGACCGCCUGGGGAGUACGGCCGCAAGGUUAAAACUCAAAUGAAUUGACGGGGGCCCGCACAAGCGGUGGAGCAUGUGGUUUAAUUCGAUGCAACGCGAAGAACCUUACCUGGUCUUGACAUCCACAGAAGAAUCCAGAGAUGGAUUUGUGCCUUCGGGAACUGUGAGACAGGUGCUGCAUGGCUGUCGUCAGCUCGUGUUGUGAAAUGUUGGGUUAAGUCCCGCAACGAGCGCAACCCUUAUCCUUUGUUGCCAGCGGUCCGGCCGGGAACUCAAAGGAGACUGCCAGUGAUAAACUGGAGGAAGGUGGGGAUGACGUCAAGUCAUCAUGGCCCUUACGACCAGGGCUACACACGUGCUACAAUGGCGCAUACAAAGAGAAGCGACCUCGCGAGAGCAAGCGGACCUCAUAAAGUGCGUCGUAGUCCGGAUUGGAGUCUGCAACUCGACUCCAUGAAGUCGGAAUCGCUAGUAAUCGUGGAUCAGAAUGCCACGGUGAAUACGUUCCCGGGCCUUGUACACACCGCCCGUCACACCAUGGGAGUGGGUUGCAAAAGAAGUAGGUAGCUUAACCUUCGGGAGGGCGCUUACCACUUUGUGAUUCAUGACUGGGGUGAAGUCGUAACAAGGUAACCGUAGGGGAACCUGCGGUUG
This 1522-nucleotide ribosomal RNA is filed under the name Salmonella enterica subsp. enterica serovar Infantis. Its description in RNAcentral is "bacterial SSU rRNA". It matches the Rfam family "Bacterial small subunit ribosomal RNA". RNAcentral also lists the same sequence under 4 other names. The record is from RNAcentral. Lineage: Bacteria; Pseudomonadati; Pseudomonadota; Gammaproteobacteria; Enterobacterales; Enterobacteriaceae.